Molecule: ribosomal RNA, 160 nt
Filed under: Agrostophyllum majus
Lineage: Eukaryota; Viridiplantae; Streptophyta; Magnoliopsida; Asparagales; Orchidaceae
Description: 5.8S ribosomal RNA
Source: RNAcentral
UCGAGUCUUUGAACGCAAGUUGCGCCCGAGGCCGUCCGGCCGAGGGCACGUCCGCCUGGGCGUCAAGCGUUGCGUCGCUCCGCGCCAGCUCCGUCCCGCCCGAUGGGCGUGUCGGCCGAGGCUCGGAUGUGCAGAGUGGCUCGUCGUGCCCAGCGGCGCG